Molecule: ribosomal RNA, 164 nt
Filed under: uncultured bacterium
Lineage: Bacteria
Description: partial 16S rRNA
Rfam family: Bacterial small subunit ribosomal RNA
Source: RNAcentral
UAGGGAAUCUUCGGCAAUGGACGAAAGUCUGACCGAGCAACGCCGCGUGAGUGAAGAAGGUUUUGGAUCGUAAAACUCUGUUGGUAGAGAAGAACGUUGGUGAGAGUGGAAAGCUCAUCAAGUGACGGUAACUACCCAGAAAGGGACGGCUAACUACGUACCAG